GGUUCAUUAGAAUAAUGGUAGUUCAUCCCCCUUCAGGACAGACAAAUUCAACUUGGCUGUGCUGAAGGGGAAGGUCGGAGUUCGAUUCUCCGAUGGACCA
RNAcentral lists this transfer RNA (100 nucleotides) under Prevotella sp. Its description in RNAcentral is "tRNA-OTHER". It matches the Rfam family "tRNA". From Rfam's summary of the family: Transfer RNA (tRNA) molecules are approximately 80 nucleotides in length. Their secondary structure includes four short double-helical elements and three loops (D, anti-codon, and T loops). Lineage: Bacteria; Pseudomonadati; Bacteroidota; Bacteroidia; Bacteroidales; Prevotellaceae. The record is from RNAcentral.